AAAUUUAGUAGCGAAGUAGCUGAUUUCACACUGUCAAGAAAAGUCUCUAUCGAGGUUAAAGGUACCCGUACCGCAAACCGACACAGGUGGGUGAGGAGAGGAUCCUAAGGCCAGCGAGAGAACUGUUGUUAAGGAACUCGGCAAAAUGACCCCGUAACUUAGGGAUAAGGGGUGCCACCAUCAGGUGGCCGCAGAGAAUAGGCCCAAGCGACUGUUUACCAAAAACAUAGGUUUCUGCUAAGUCGCAAGACGAUGUAUA
Molecule: ribosomal RNA, 259 nt
Filed under: Clostridioides difficile
Lineage: Bacteria; Bacillati; Bacillota; Clostridia; Peptostreptococcales; Peptostreptococcaceae
Description: partial 23S ribosomal RNA
Rfam family: Bacterial large subunit ribosomal RNA
Source: RNAcentral